GGGCUCGUAGCUCAGCUGGAUAGAGCAACGGCCUUCUAAGCCGUGUGUCUAGGGUUCGAAUCCCUACGGGCUCACCA
Molecule: transfer RNA, 77 nt
Filed under: Bacillota bacterium
Lineage: Bacteria; Bacillati; Bacillota
Also listed under: 3 other names
Description: tRNA-Arg
Rfam family: tRNA
About the family: Transfer RNA (tRNA) molecules are approximately 80 nucleotides in length. Their secondary structure includes four short double-helical elements and three loops (D, anti-codon, and T loops). Further hydrogen bonds mediate the characteristic L-shaped molecular structure. tRNAs have two regions of fundamental functional importance: the anti-codon, which is responsible for specific mRNA codon recognition, and the 3' end, to which the tRNAs corresponding amino acid is attached (by aminoacyl-tRNA synthetases). tRNAs cope with the degeneracy of the genetic code in two manners: having more than one tRNA (with a specific anti-codon) for a particular amino acid; and 'wobble' base-pairing, i.e. permitting non-standard base-pairing at the 3rd anti-codon position.
Source: RNAcentral